RNAcentral lists this ribosomal RNA (432 nucleotides) under uncultured bacterium. RNAcentral's name for it is "bacterial SSU rRNA". It matches the Rfam family "Bacterial small subunit ribosomal RNA", at positions 958 to 1392 of the family's 1533-position model. The record is from RNAcentral.
AACGCGAAGAACCUUACCUGGACUUGACAUCCCCUGCAUAGCCAAGAAAUUGGCGAAGCCCUUCGGGGCAGGGAGACAGGUGGUGCAUGGUUGUCGUCGGCUCGUGUCGUGAGAUGUUAGGUUAAGUCCUGCAACGAGCGCAACCCUUAUCAUUAAUUGCUACCAUUAAGUUGAGCACUCUAGUGAGACUGCCCGGGUUAACCGGGAGGAAGGUGGGGAUGACGUCAAAUCAUCAUGCCCCUUAUGUCCAGGGCUACACACGUGCUACAAUGGUGAGUACAACAAGAUGCAAUCCCGCGAGGGGGAGCCAAACUUAUAAAACUCAUCUCAGUUCGGAUUGUAGGCUGAAACUCGCCUACAUGAAGUUGGAGUUGCUAGUAAUCGCGAAUCAGAAUGUCGCGGUGAAUACGUUCCCGGGUCUUGUACACACCG